RNAcentral lists this unclassified non-coding RNA (223 nucleotides) under uncultured Gammaproteobacteria bacterium. RNAcentral's name for it is "contains 16S-23S intergenic spacer region". The record is from RNAcentral. Lineage: Bacteria; Pseudomonadati; Pseudomonadota; Gammaproteobacteria.
UCCGGUUUGUCACCGGCAGUCCCAUUAGAGUGCCCAACUGAAUGUGGCAACUAAUGGCAAGGGUUGCGCUCGUUGCGGGACUUAACCCAACAUCUCACGACACGAGCUGACGACAGCCAUGCAGCACCUGUGUCCAGGUUCCCUUUCGGGCACCCCUCCAUCUCUGGAGGGUUCCUGGCAUGUCAAGGGUAGGUAAGGUGGGGAUGACGUGUCUAGGAGGGUG